This 73-nucleotide transfer RNA is filed under the name Thermoplasmatales archaeon. Its description in RNAcentral is "tRNA-Ala". It matches the Rfam family "tRNA". Rfam says of the family: Transfer RNA (tRNA) molecules are approximately 80 nucleotides in length. Their secondary structure includes four short double-helical elements and three loops (D, anti-codon, and T loops). The record is from RNAcentral. Lineage: Archaea; Methanobacteriati; Thermoplasmatota; Thermoplasmata; Thermoplasmatales.
GGGCCGGUAGAUCAGCUGGAAGAUCGCCACCUUGGCAUGGUGGAGGUCACGGGUUCAAAUCCCGUCCGGUCCA